UACGUAGGGGGCAAGCGUUGUCCGGAUUUAUUGGGCGUAAAGAGCGUGUAGGCGGCCAGGUAGGUCUGCUGUGAAAACUCGAGGCUUAACCUCGAGCUGUCGGCGGAAACCAUCUGGCUAGAGUCCGGAAGAGGAGAAUGGAAUUCCCGGUGUAGCGGUGAAAUGCGUAGAUAUCUGGAGGAACACCGGUGGCGAAGGCGGCAUCCUGGACCGACACUGACGCUGAGGAGCGAAAGCCAGGGGAGCAAACGGG
This 253-nucleotide ribosomal RNA is filed under the name uncultured bacterium. RNAcentral describes it as "partial 16S ribosomal RNA". It matches the Rfam family "Bacterial small subunit ribosomal RNA", at positions 524 to 776 of the family's 1533-position model. The record is from RNAcentral.